AUUGAACGCUGGCGGCAUGCCUUACACAUGCAAGUCGAACGGCAUCGCGGGAAAGCUUGCUUUCCUGGCGGCGAGUGGCGAACGGGUGAGUAACACAUCGGAACGUACCGGCUAGUGGGGGAUAACCCGUCGAAAGACGUGCUAAUACCGCAUACGCUCUUCGGAGGAAAGCAGGGGACCUUUGGGCCUUGCGCUAGUCGAGCGGCCGAUGUCCGAUUAGCUAGUUGGUGGGGUAAAGGCCUACCAAGGCGACGAUCGGUAGCGGGUCUGAGAGGACGAUCCGCCACACUGGGACUGAGACACGGCCCAGACUCCUACGGGAGGCAGCAGUGGGGAAUCUUGGACAAUGGGGGCAACCCUGAUCCAGCAAUGCCGCGUGGGUGAAGAAGGCCUUCGGGUUGUAAAGCCCUUUCGGCAGGGAAGAAAUCGGCGGGGCGAAUAACCCUGCUGGAUGACGGUACCUGCAGAAGAAGCACCGGCUAACUACGUG
RNAcentral lists this ribosomal RNA (490 nucleotides) under uncultured bacterium. RNAcentral's name for it is "partial 16S ribosomal RNA". It matches the Rfam family "Bacterial small subunit ribosomal RNA", at positions 29 to 507 of the family's 1533-position model. The record is from RNAcentral.